UUUGACCUACGGGAGGCAGCAGUGGGGAAUAUUGCACAAUGGGGGGAACCCUGAUGCAGCGACGCCGCGUGAGCGAUGAAGUAUUUCGGUAUGUAAAGCUCUAUCAGCAGGGAAGAAAAUGACGGUACCUGACUAAGAAGCCCCGGCUAACUACGUGCCAGCAGCCGCGGUAAUACGUAGGGGGCAAGCGUUAUCCGGAUUUACUGGGUGUAAAGGGAGCGUAGACGGCUGUGCAAGCCAGAUGUGAAAGCCCGGGGCUCAACCCCGGGUCUGCAUUUGGAACUGCGAGGCUUGAGUGUCGGAGG
This 305-nucleotide ribosomal RNA is filed under the name uncultured bacterium. RNAcentral describes it as "bacterial SSU rRNA". It matches the Rfam family "Bacterial small subunit ribosomal RNA", at positions 331 to 655 of the family's 1533-position model. The record is from RNAcentral.